GCGGGUGUGGCGGAAUGGCAGACGCGCAUGGUUUAGGACCAUGUAUCCGUAAAGGAUGUGGGGGUUCAAGUCCCUCCACCCGCACCA
This 87-nucleotide transfer RNA is filed under the name candidate division WWE3 bacterium CG_4_10_14_0_2_um_filter_47_8. RNAcentral's name for it is "tRNA-Leu". It matches the Rfam family "tRNA". From Rfam's summary of the family: Transfer RNA (tRNA) molecules are approximately 80 nucleotides in length. Their secondary structure includes four short double-helical elements and three loops (D, anti-codon, and T loops). Further hydrogen bonds mediate the characteristic L-shaped molecular structure. tRNAs have two regions of fundamental functional importance: the anti-codon, which is responsible for specific mRNA codon recognition, and the 3' end, to which the tRNAs corresponding amino acid is attached (by aminoacyl-tRNA synthetases). tRNAs cope with the degeneracy of the genetic code in two manners: having more than one tRNA (with a specific anti-codon) for a particular amino acid; and 'wobble' base-pairing, i.e. permitting non-standard base-pairing at the 3rd anti-codon position. RNAcentral also lists the same sequence under 3 other names. The record is from RNAcentral. Lineage: Bacteria; candidate division WWE3.